AGACUCGAUCACUGAUGAUGAUCUUGUCUUAUAUAUUCUUGGAGGACUUGGACAAGAAUAUGAUAUUGUGGUUGUCUCGGUCACUACUAGGGCUGAGUUAAUUUCAUUAACCGAUCUUCAUGGCUUGCUUUUAAGUCAAGA
Capsicum annuum is the source of this 141-nucleotide non-coding RNA. The record is from Rfam. NCBI's taxonomy places the organism in Eukaryota, Viridiplantae, Streptophyta, Magnoliopsida, Solanales, Solanaceae.